Gasterosteus aculeatus aculeatus (three-spined stickleback) is the source of this 4754-nucleotide non-coding RNA. Lineage: Eukaryota; Metazoa; Chordata; Actinopteri; Perciformes; Gasterosteidae. The record is from RefSeq and is a predicted model, not a curated record.
CCCCAUCCCCCCUCCCUUUAUCUUUCUUACUCUCUCACACGCUGAGACGCUUGAGAGCAGCAUACAACUUUGGACAUAAAUCAGGCUCCCGUAAAUAAUGGCUGCACUUCCCUUUACAUCUCCGUUGGACUAACAGACAAUAAAAACACCAAUAAGCAGAGAUUGGAUCUAAUUUAUUGCCUCAUAAAAAGUGGCGGAGGGCUCCGCUUCAGAGCAACACUGAAAACAGUACAGCUACGGAACGCGCUCACAGUUAUGCGCAACCCAUAUUGUAGUCACACAGUAUAAUCGCAAUAAUAAGUUGACGAUUUUGAGCCAGGGAAUUUGUCAAGAAAGUACGUCAGACGAGAGCAGAUUACAUUGUUUUAUCAUGCAAAAACAACACCAGUGUAAUAAUAAUAAUAAUACUACAAAUCACAAUAACAAUAUAAACAAAUAAAUACAUAAACGCACAAAUGAAAAUCCCAACUAUGAAUAUUAGGAGGAGCAGUUAUAUCCCAAUUCAAAUAAUAUCGUAUGGUAAUAAUCGUUGUUUAAAACCGAGUAACCCUAAAACAAAACAAUUGACUGCCAAAUAAAUUAAAAUAGAAGUCACAAAUCCCAAUCUUCAGUCGACCAAUCCACGUGUCGCGUGUGAUAAAAAAACUGCCUUUGUUUGCCAACAAAACUUCCAAUAAUAUUGUUGGUAUUUUACAAAAAAGAAUGAUUUGUGCAUAUAAUUUCAAAUAGGAUCUUAAAAAAUAAAUAUAGACCAGCCACGCAACCGACUGCGGUGCAUUGUAUUGCUGGAGCUCAGUCAGCAGCUCGUGUGUGCUGUGUGAACGCGCCUUUUCUGCUGCGUUCAAUGGCCCUGACUCCCACGCGCUUUUCUGCCGUUUCCCCCCUGUCUGUCGUCCCUUUCAGAAUCAGACGGGUUGAAGGCAAAUGGCAUGGGAAAAGAGGGAAGAGCUAAAUAACCAAUCCUCCAAUAGUAUCUAAGUGGUUUUAUGAUUUUUAUUUAUUUAUUUUGUAUAGGCGUUUAUAUAUGCGCGUGUAAAACCUGUGCGAAAACGUCAAAUAAAUAUACUAAAACACGGCAACUAGAUGGGAAGGGAAGGUGGGGUGGGGUGGGGUGGGGGUAUUUAGGGAAAGAAGAGGGGCCGCUGUCAGGCCCUUUGCAACAGUGAAAGAUUGAUCACCGCACAUUUUCUCCACACUCGGGGCUCCUCGAUCCCUUCCCAAAAAUAUCCUCCCAAGCUCCUGCUCUUUAUUUGAGAGAAAAAUAAAUAAUACAAGUCUACAUGCGCGCCCUGUUGAGCCUGAAGGGCACCCAGUGCGCUCUCACUUCCCAUUACCGUUCAUAAUAUUGCUACUGUUUUAUUAGUAUAUCUUGUUUUACUACAGCAGGGUCUCCCCUCCUUUUUGUAGCUGCACGGAGCGACCUCGCUGUGAACUCUCUCUCUCGUUGUGUGUCGUUCCCUCUCUCUGCGUAAACACAACGGACAUUUUUAACAGACAUCACACUAGAGAGAGAGAGAGAGAGAGAGAGCCGGGAAGAGAAAAAUAGAGAGAGGAUAGGGGGCUAUUUUAGUUAGAUAAUAUUUUUGGGAUCCGUCUCUGUUCAAAUAGAAUAAGAAACAGUGAUUCGAACAAAAAGAAAGAACACUUACACAACACCUGGUUUCUCUUCCCCAUUUCUCUAAAUGUGUUUAUCUCUGCUCUGCUGCAAGCCGGUCUGCCUCCGCUUCUCUGAGAAAGCUUCAUCAUCCUCUCCUGAACUGCUGCGCCUUCUAGACAUUUGUUUUUAUUUCUCUCUAGGUCUAAGAUUGGGAUUUUCAGCCUCUGUCAACGUUCAUAAGAUUAAUGAGCUGAGUCCUCUACAGUGAUUUUUUUUUUCUCAGACAGAGCAUAUUGUAAACGGUACAGCCAGCUACAACCACCCUAACCGUCAUCACCCAGAGGACCAAAAAAAGAAUGUCGAGAGAUGCUCUAUUGUUUGUGCGUGAUUAACACCGGAUCCGCAGAAUGUGCCGAACCGGCCGCCCACACGGUCCACAUGGCGACCGGCCGCUUCGCCGUCUCUCCUCCUCCCCGCGCGUUACCCCCCGUUAGGGUGAGACAAUAGCAGCCGUCCUGGGAUCCAGCCCUGCGUUGCCAAAGCAUUUGGUGGAAAAAUGAUAAUGCUGUUUCCCACUGCCAUCGCCGCCACGGCCCGCCCCCCCCCCCUCCAAACCCCGAUUGGCAGUUUUGCGUCACGUGACCAGGAAUUGGCUGCAAUUUCGCCCCAUAGUUCUUCAGUUUAGCCUACCCAUGGUCCCCAUACGCUAGUAAUAUCACCAAUUUACACAAUUAUUAUAUAGCCGCUGUUUUGCACCAUUGCGGUCGGGAGCCUAUAUGCUCGUGCGCUUCUUCAUUUUAUUUUCAACCAGGAAGCCAUAUUGUUUUGUGUGCGUGUACGAGCGUGCGCGCCUAUGUGUGUUUGUGUUUUUUGUUGUUUUUUUAUUUUGGGGGACGGAUUGUUUCGGGGGGUCUCGCCGUUCUGAGGUCGAAACUGGUUCGAGGGAGCUAUGAAUUUUGAAUUUGAGAGAGAGAUCGGUUUUAUCAACAGCCAGCCGUCCCUAGCAGAGUGCCUGACGUCCUUCCCCGCCGUCCUGGAGUCAUUUCAAACUUCAUCAAUCAAGGAGUCGACAGUAAUUCCGCCUCCCUUCGAGCACACCAUCCCCAGCCUCAGCCCCUGCACAGCCAACCAGCCGAGACCGUCUGCUAGGAGCCAGCAGAACCGGAGAACAUCCAUUGCCAAUGGCCUCCAGACGAUUCACCGGGGCGCCCAGCAGCACUGCCCCACCGGUCAGACCCCUGCGCCGGCCUCGACCGCACCGGCCGGCCCACUGGCCCACGAGUUCCCCUGGAUGAAAGAGAAGAAGUCCUCAAAGAAGUGCCCGAAAUCUGGGAGCGGCUCCAGUGGUGGCGGAUCCAUCAUCCCCUCUGCCUCGUCCUCCCCGUCGCCGACCGCUUCUGGGUACGCCUUGGCGGGCAUCGAGUCACCCACAGACCCAAGCCAGGCGAGUUUGGAUAGUGGAGGUGCCGGGUCCCGCCGUUUGCGCACAGCCUACACUAACACGCAGUUGCUGGAGCUGGAGAAGGAGUUCCACUUCAAUAAGUACCUGUGCCGGCCAAGGAGGGUGGAGAUUGCCGCCCUCUUGGAUCUGACCGAGCGGCAAGUCAAAGUGUGGUUCCAGAACCGGCGGAUGAAACACAAGCGCCAGACGACACACCAGCGGGACGGUGGAGGCCACGAUUCCAGCGAGUUCGAGCCGCUUGAAGGCGCCGACGCCUCGUCCCCUUACUCGAGCCAGCCGCUGGAAGCAUCUGGCACAGGGGAGGCCGAGUCUGACGGCGAGGCGGGGAGCUGUAAUCCAUCUUCGGCCGCCUACGCGAAUGACAGUGGGGACAAUGCACAACCCACGUCGGAGAACGGAGGCCGACUGAGCAGCCCCGAACGCCCACAGUUGCUUGAGGCAUUUGGCUCCUCAGACGUGGCCGCGGCUCGCCACUCUCCGCCGGCGUUCACAGCCACGAGCUCCUCCGACAUCCCGGGCCUGAUGCAGCUUGGCGAGGCCGCGCUGGCGGCAGCAGAAGCAGCGUGCGACCCAUCCUUCUCCGAGCACCGGGACCCCUCCGUCUCCUCCACCGUGUCCUCAGCUCCUGCGGCCACUUCCUCCUCAACCGCGCUCCCCGACCUGACCUUCUUUGCUGGGGAAACGUGCCUGUCGCCCAGCCUACAGAGCUCCCUGGACAGCCCGGUGGAUUUCUCAGAGGAGGACUUCGACCUGUUCACGAGCACACUGUGCACCAUAGACCUGCAGCACCUCAACUUCUGAGAAAUAUAAAUUUACAAAAACACAAGGAGCACACGGACAUUGGGCGGAGGAAGACCGCCCCGCAAGCUUCGCGAAAACAUUCCUGUAACAUUUCUGAAUGAAAAUGAUCUUCCUGUAUUUUUUUCGUCUUCUGCUGGCUUUUAUUCUACGGUUAGAACUUACCUCAUUUGAAAGAGAUGCACUUCGUUUAUUUAUUUUUGAAUAAACGUCCAAGGGAUUGUAUUUUUUGUUUUUCCGCGGUCGAAACGAUCAUUUUUGUCUCUCCCCGUUUUCAGAGUCAAAAUGGCGAUGAAGACAAAGCAGGAUGUGAACAAUGAGCAGUGGCAGCCAUUACAGGAUGACUGGCUCAGUGUGACAGGCACGGUGUGUGUGUGUGUGUGUGUGUGUGUGUGUGUGUGUGUGUGUGUGUGUGUGUGUGUGUGUGUGUGUGUGUGUGUGUGUCCUUGUGUGUUUGUAACAGGGAGAGUCAAACAAAAGGAAUAUGCCUAUUCAGGUUUAUGGCUGAUUAUUGAAUAACAGUAAUCCCAAUACAUGUAGUAGAAUAAUAACAAUAAUAAAACACAACAAGUAAUAAUAAUAUAGCAGUAAUGCAAAUUACUAAAUGAAUUAUAACAAUAAUCUUUUUGACAUAUAACAAAAUCAACUGAUGAUAAUAUCUAAUACCUCAGAAACCUGUAUUUGUAAUUUGCUUAUACACUGAAUCAGGAUCAUUGACUCAGUUAUUAUCGGCAAUACAUCUAGUUAAUAAAAUUGGAUGUAGUUAACAACAUUGGUUGGUGCGCGCUGUUUCAUUGUCAGUAUGACAUAAUUAAUGUUAUACUUUCUUGAUUAUUAACAAAUACGACAGUAAUCUGUAAUUUAAUAAACCACUCUGCAUGUCCAGAAAUAUUGUAA